AAGGUUUGUACUUUACUACUUUUGGCUGCUGCUCGAUCAUGUCAUGUUGAUGUAAAUAGAUUCUUACAGUGCCACUUGUUCCUUAGUUUCUUCCUAUUUUCUGUUGAUUUUGUUGUGUCUUUUCUUCUCUAUUGUUAAAAAAAUCUCCCUGUAUCUUUUUGUAGGCCAACUGCAUAGAUUCAACAGUGCCAGCUGAGGCUGUAUUUGCUCAGGAAGUGAAGAAGCUACAAGCAGAGCAGUUUAAACCUAUGGAGCAGGUCACCCUUGAACCCUUUGAAAGGGACCACGCCUGUGUUGUGGGCGCCUAUCGGGUGCCGAAGAAGCAGAAGGCUGCUGCCUAGAUAAUUUAAAGCUCAUGCUGUUUGUUAGUGUCAGUUUUUUGGUAGGAUGUUUUUAAAACACUCUUAAGCUAGUGUCAACAUUAUAUUUUUGAUGGAUGUGUAAUGAGAUUUUGGUGCUCUAUGUUAUUGUCCAUAUGUUUGAUUCUAUCUCCUUUCAGUUCAUAUAACGAACUUGUGCUCUGUCUAUUAUGAACGAACUUGUAUUCACCUGGCUGUUCACCUCCUCUCUUCUCCCACUACUUUCUAUUCCCAUCUCCAUUUCAACAUCCUAUGCUCUCACUACAACCACCCCAAGUGCCUGUGUUGUGGGUGCCUAUCGGGUGCCAAAGAAGCAAAAGGCUGCUGCCUAGAUAAUUAGUGUCAGUUUUUUUUGGUAGGAGGUUUGUAAAACACUCGUAAGCUGGUGUCACCAUUAUAUUUUUGAUGAAUGUGUAAUGAGAUUUUGGUUCUCUAUGUUAUUGUUCAUAUAUGUUUGGUUCCAUCUCCUUCACCCUUGUUUAUAUUUCUUCACUGUGACCUGUCUUUGGUAGUGAAAUAGUGCACUUCUUGUGCUCUGUCUAUAGUUAGCGAACUUGUAUUCCAAGGUCAAGGAAGAAUCUUUUCAAUAGAAGCUUAUGAUGUGCUGUAGUUUAAACUAGGCAUUCAAAAACUUCCGCUUAAGUUUUUUACACUAU
RNAcentral lists this long non-coding RNA (1015 nucleotides) under Nicotiana benthamiana. RNAcentral describes it as "long non-coding RNA (NBEN_LNC006481)". Lineage: Eukaryota; Viridiplantae; Streptophyta; Magnoliopsida; Solanales; Solanaceae. The record is from RNAcentral.